This 1098-nucleotide long non-coding RNA is filed under the name Phoenix dactylifera (date palm). RNAcentral describes it as "long non-coding RNA (PDAC_LNC003440)". The record is from RNAcentral. Lineage: Eukaryota; Viridiplantae; Streptophyta; Magnoliopsida; Arecales; Arecaceae.
CUCAAGAAGCGUCUGAAGGGUUUGUAGUCUCUUCUUUAAUUUCUUGCUCUCUUCUUCUUUUAUGUCUAUUUCGAGCGGACAACAGCAACCAGCGUUUGGCUAGCUCAACUGGUAUACCAUGGCUCCUUGCUUUCCUUCUCGGUACACCAUGGUCAGCUCCCUACUUUCACAGGUCUGAAUUACUGCAAGUGGAGGUAAAUUUAUGAAGUAAUUUAUGGUCUGUAUGGUCGUUUUUGGACAUAACUUAUUGCAGGCAUUAAAGCAUGUCAGUGCUCUUAUUCUUGAACUAUCUAAAGUCCCCUUACAAUAUAGAUAUAUACCAUCAUCAAUGGUGUUAUUCUCACAGAUUUUGAUGACGAAGACUCCUUCCUUAUCUCAAAUAAAAGUUCAUGCAAUCUCGAGCACAUCAAAUGGAGAUGAUCUCACAUGUAUGACCUCCAUCCUAUAUGCUUGGGAUCAACUAUACAGAGGCUCUCUCACUUGUAACCAAUUAUAUUAUCCUCAUCGAUGCGACUCCUAACCUUAUAUGUAAGGUGUUUGACACUACUAUAAACAUGAGUUUAUGAAAGUGUUAAUUAAUAAAAUGGAUACCUGGUAUAUCCGGCAAGGUUACAGAAAUAUGUCUAUCUAUAAUCCAUCAUUCCGUCAAGUCAAGUGACAAUCGUUGAAAUGCUUCAGCUCCAAUGAGAACCCAUAUGUGGUUCCCAUGACUUCACCCCAUGUGUCAUGUUUUUUGCGCUUGGACAGCGUCCAAAGCCUGAGGUUCAGGGGGGACUCAUUUGCUUAAUAUUUUUCUCUCUCUCUCCUUACUUCCGUAGGCUUGCGGACAAGGGUGGUACUUCAGCUACGAUUAAACUAAACCAGUCGAAAGAAGAAGGGCUCGGUAAGAGAGGUGGGGCCCCGGAAUCGAUGGAGAUGGGUUCCAGCCAAGGGGGGACGUUGACCUUUUGCAAACUCCGUGCAGGUCACGGCUUUUGGGUCACUUUUCACCCCCAAAUCAUGCUGACGCCAUCUCCAUGGUGCUUAUAAAUUUUUCUUUUAUGGGCAGGCACUCCUUGAUAUCUAAUACUUGGGUACGUACUGUGGGGACUGGGACAG